GCUCCGUUGGUGAACCAGCGGGGGGAUCAUUACUGAGUUACCGCUCUACAACCCUUUGUGAACAUACCUAACUGUUGCUUCGGCGGGCAGAGGUCCCUCGCGGAUCUCUCCCGGCAACGCCCUCACGGGCGGAGCGCCCGCCGGAGGAUACCAAACUCUAUUUUAACGACGUUUCUUCUGAGUGGCACAAGCAAAUAAUUAAAACUUUUAACAACGGAUCUCAUGGUUCUGGCAUCGAUGAAGACGCAGC
RNAcentral lists this unclassified non-coding RNA (250 nucleotides) under plant metagenome. RNAcentral describes it as "partial contains small subunit ribosomal RNA, internal transcribed spacer 1, and 5.8S ribosomal RNA". The record is from RNAcentral.